This 799-nucleotide ribosomal RNA is filed under the name uncultured Glomeromycotina. Its description in RNAcentral is "SSU rRNA". It matches the Rfam family "Eukaryotic small subunit ribosomal RNA", at positions 314 to 1114 of the family's 1831-position model. The record is from RNAcentral. Lineage: Eukaryota; Fungi; Glomeromycota.
AUCAACUUUCGAUGGUAGGAUAGAGGCCUACCAUGGUGGUAACGGGUAACGGGGUGUUAGGGCACGACACCGGAGAGGGAGCCUGAGAAACGGCUACCACAUCCAAGGAUGGCAGCAGGCGCGCAAAUUACCCAAUCCCGACACGGGGAGGUAGUGACAAUAAAUAACAAUACGGGGUCCUUUCGGGUUUCGUAAUUGGAAUGAGUACAAUUUAAAUCUCUUAACGAGGAACAAUUGGAGGGCAAGUCUGGUGCCAGCAGCCGCGGUAAUUCCAGCUCCAAUAGCGUAUAUUAAAGUUGUUGCAGUUAAAAAGCUCGCAGUUGAAUUUCGGGGUUAGUAGAUUGGUCGUGCCACUGGUAUGUACUGGUCUUACUGAUUCCUCCUUCCUGAUGAACCGUAAUGCCAUUAAUUUGGUGUUGCGGGGAGACUGGACUGUUACUUUGAAAAAAUUAGAGUGUUUAAAGCAGGCUAACGCUUGAAUACAUUAGCAUGGAAUAAUGAAAUAGGACGUUCGAUCCUAUUUUGUUGGUUUCCAGGAUUGACGUAAUGAUUAAUAGGGAUAGUUGGGGGCAUUAGUAUUCAAUUGUCAGAGGUGAAAUUCUUGGAUUUAUUGAAGACUGACUACUGCGAUAGCAUUUGCCAAGGAUGUUUUCAUUAAUCAAGAACGAAAGUUAGGGGAUCGAAGACGAUCAGAUACCGUCGUAGUCUUAACCAUAAACUAUGCCGACUAGGGAUCGGAUGAUGUUAAUUUUUUAAUGACUCAUUCGGCGCCUUACGGGAAACCAAAGUGUUUGGGUUC